Molecule: long non-coding RNA, 216 nt
Filed under: Neogobius melanostomus (round goby)
Lineage: Eukaryota; Metazoa; Chordata; Actinopteri; Gobiiformes; Gobiidae
Description: lncRNA (ENSNMLG00000025125.1)
Source: RNAcentral
ACCAUUUUGACUCGCACCGACCUCUGUCAGGACACAGUGUGGGGCCUUAUCCCGGAACAGUCCAAUCGGAGAGCGGCAAGGAGGACCAGGAAGCACAGGUCUCUGGGGUGACUCUAAUAUCUGAAGAUGAAAACUGUUGGAUCACCAAACUCCCUUUAACUGCAGACGCCUCAUCUGCCAACUGCAUAGUCUACUGCCAAGGAAAGGAGUUGUUCU